AAGCUCGUAGUUGAAUUUCGGGAUCAGUAUGUUGGUCGUGCUUAGGUACAUACUGUCAUUACUGGUUUCUCUCUUCUGAAGAACCUUGAUGUCAUUAAUUUGGUGUCUUGGGGAAUCAGGACUGUUACUUUGAAAAAAUUAGAGUGUUUAAAGCAGGCAUACGCUUGGAUACAUUAGCAUGGAAUAAUGAAAUAGGACGUUUGAUUCUAUUUUGUUGGUUUCUAGGAUCGACGUAAUGAUUAAUAGGGAUAGUUGGG
Molecule: ribosomal RNA, 257 nt
Filed under: uncultured Glomeromycotina
Lineage: Eukaryota; Fungi; Glomeromycota
Description: partial 18S ribosomal RNA
Rfam family: Eukaryotic small subunit ribosomal RNA
Source: RNAcentral